GGGCGAUUAGCUCAGUUGGCCAGAGCGCCUGCUUCACACGUAGGAGGUCGGCAGUUCGAGUCUGCCAUCGCCCACCA
This 77-nucleotide transfer RNA is filed under the name Actinomycetes bacterium. RNAcentral describes it as "Actinobacteria bacterium tRNA-Val". It matches the Rfam family "tRNA". From Rfam's summary of the family: Transfer RNA (tRNA) molecules are approximately 80 nucleotides in length. RNAcentral also lists the same sequence under 2 other names. The record is from RNAcentral. Lineage: Bacteria; Bacillati; Actinomycetota; Actinomycetes.